CCCUUAGAUGCUCUGGGCGGCCCGCGCACUACACUGGCACUCUCAAUCAGAGCCUGGAUCUAACACUUUGGGGUAUUCUAUGAAGUGGUGUCGUGACUGGGAUUAACCCUUGCAAUUAUUGGUUACGAACGAGGAAUUCCUUGUAAUCGCGGUUUAUCAGCCCGCGUUGAAUGCGUCCCUGCCCUUUGUACACACCGCCCGUCGCUCCUACCGAUGGAUCGUCCGGUGAAGCUCAUGGAGGGGCGGUUGUCUCAGCUGCCGUCGAAGUGAAAUGGACCUCACGAUCUAGAGGAAGGAGAAGUCGUAACA
This 309-nucleotide ribosomal RNA is filed under the name uncultured eukaryote. RNAcentral describes it as "partial 18S ribosomal RNA". It matches the Rfam family "Eukaryotic small subunit ribosomal RNA", at positions 1470 to 1796 of the family's 1831-position model. The record is from RNAcentral.